This 1827-nucleotide long non-coding RNA is filed under the name Capra hircus (goat). Its description in RNAcentral is "lncRNA (ENSCHIG00010014199.1)". Lineage: Eukaryota; Metazoa; Chordata; Mammalia; Artiodactyla; Bovidae. The record is from RNAcentral.
CUGACUGACUGACUGACUGACGGGCCGAUGGACCGGCCGAGGGGAGGGAGUACUGACGGACGGACGGAGGGACAGACGGACUGACGGACGGGGUUGGCCUAGAGCGCCCGGGGCCUCGGGUGGACGGCGGCCGCGGGAGGACGGCUUCCCAGCAGUUGGCAGCCGCGGGCCUGGCGUCCGGUGGUGGAAGACCUUAGUCUUCGGACCCUGUCCCAGGCAUGACCCGUUCAAAAGCCUCCCUUCCAGAUGGUCACUCUCUGCCCCGGCGUGUCACGUGGUGAUGCUCUGACUUCCGUUCCAUGCCCUGCUGUCUGAGGCUCCUGACCGGCCACCAAACCUGCUGAUAAAAAGUGGGUUAGUGCCUGCAGUGACCAGAAGGUGCUGGCACGUCUAAGGGCUCAGACUUGUUUCCGAGGCACCAGAGUGAUUUAGAAAACUUUUCUGACACAAGCCCCUUUACGAAAAGGUGUGUGGUUUGCCUAAAUGCCUGUGGAGUCUGGGCCAUGAAUGGAGAAGUCAGUCCAGGGAAUGACGAUGGAAGGAGCUGAGUUUACUGCCUUGGAGACCAGAGCCUCGCUACCAGAAACCAUAUCCAGUAGGAAAAGGUAGCAUAUGAAAGCACAUGGAACAAACCAACACGUGGACCCAGGCACAGCUUGCAACAGCUGGUAGAGAAGUCCCCCCAGCGCAGCCUCAGACACCAGGCCGGUCUUCGCCUUGGGCGCGGUUCUUGUUUGUGUUGAUGUCUACGAGAAAACUGAGCCUCACACGUGUGGCUGGUCUGGAAAGGUGGAAGAGGAAGACGGAUGCAGAGGAAGGGACCAGGCUGGGAGGUGUAGGCUUGCCCUGUGACCAGCUCCGGGGGCAGUGGUGGGUGCGGUGUGACCGGGAAGGGCAGGUGAGGUGCUGUGGGCCUGCUGCCGCAGCUCAGAAACAAACACAGUCCUUUUAGGCACAGAAUUCUCUGUCAAUGAAUGGAAGCUUGCUAUAUACACGGUACAGCGGAAACGCAGGAAAGGAGGGGAAACCAAAGUGACCAGUGUGACCAGCCCUGGGUUUGUGCUCAUGCUGUGGACUGCCAGACCCUCGUCCAGCUGUCUCCGACCCGUCGCUGUGGCCACCUUGUACACACAGGCUGCAGAAAAUUCCACCAGGGUCUGGAGUCUGGGGCCCCGGGGAAGGGUCUGGAACCGUAUCUGUCCGUCCGCUGAGCCGGUUUUGUUACCUUUGUAUCAGAGGGAACGCAGACAGUUCCAGAGCUCCUUGCUCCGCCCUGCUCCUCCCUCUCCUCUUCCCCCUCCUCCCCCGCCUCCUCCUAGAUGAAAGGUGAAGGUGAAGUCGCUCUGUCCUGUCCGACUCUUNNNNNNNNNNNNNNNUGUAGCCCACCAGGCUUCUCCGUCCAUGGGAUUUUCCAGGCAAGAGUAUUUCCUUCUCCAGGGGAUCUUCCUGAACCAGGGAUCAAACCCGGGUGUCCUGCACUGCAGGCAGAUGCUUUACCCCCUAAGCCACCAGGAAGAAGAUCAGGAAGGUGAGAAAAGGAAUAAAAAGUGGUUAGGCAGAGAGAAAUGAGAUGGUACAGAAAACGGAGUGCAGAAUCUUAAACAUGGGACACCAGGAAAGUCCCAAACGUAAUUUUAAAAAUAAUUAUUUACAGUAGCAUCAAAUGCACAAAUUCCUAAAAGUAUAAGUACUACUAAAACUAAUGAAAAAGUAGAGAAUCUGAGUAGACCUAUCAGUUCAGUUCAGUUCAUUUCAGCUGCUCAGUCGUGCCCGACUCUUUGCGACCUCAGGAAUCGCAGCACGCCAGGCCUCCCUGUCCAUCACCAA